RNAcentral lists this ribosomal RNA (273 nucleotides) under uncultured bacterium. RNAcentral's name for it is "partial 16S ribosomal RNA". It matches the Rfam family "Bacterial small subunit ribosomal RNA", at positions 524 to 796 of the family's 1533-position model. The record is from RNAcentral.
UACGAACCGGACAAACGUUAUUCGGAAUUAUUGGGCUUAAAGGGUGCGUAGGCGGUGCGGUCAGUUGGGUGUGAAAUCCCUCGGCUCAACCGAGGAACUGCGUCCAAUACUGCCGUACUCGAGGGAGACAGAGGUAAGCGGAACUGAUGGUGGAGCGGUGAAAUGCGUUGAUAUCAUCAGGAACACCAGUGGCGAAGGCGGCUUACUGGGUCUCUUCUGACGCUGAGGCACGAAAGCUAGGGGAGCGAACGGGAUUAGAAACCCCAGUAGUCC